This 313-nucleotide ribosomal RNA is filed under the name uncultured Glomeromycotina. RNAcentral describes it as "SSU rRNA". It matches the Rfam family "Eukaryotic small subunit ribosomal RNA", at positions 569 to 886 of the family's 1831-position model. Lineage: Eukaryota; Fungi; Glomeromycota. The record is from RNAcentral.
AGCAGCCGCGGUAAUUCCAGCUCCAAUAGCGUAUAUUAAAGUUGUUGCAGUUAAAAAGCUCGUAGUUGAAUUUCGGGGUUAGCAGGUUGGUCGUGCCACUGGUAUGUACUGGCCUUGCUGAUUCCUCCCUCUUGAUGAGCCGUAAUGCCAUUAAUUUGGUGUUGCGAGGAAUCAGGACUGUUACUUUGAAAAAAUUAGAGUGUUUAAAGCAGGCAAGCGCUUGAAUACAUUAGCAUGGAAUAAUGAAAUAGGACGUUUGAUCUUAUUUUGUUGGUUUCUAAGAUUGACGUAAUGAUUAAUAGGGAUAGUUGGG